CCUACGGGAGGCUGCAGUCGAGAAUCAUUCACAAUGGGGGAAACCCUGAUGGUGCGAAGUCGCGUGGGGGAAUGAAGGUCUUCGGAUUGUAAACCCCUGUCAUGUAGGAGCAAAUUAAAAAGAUAGUACCACAAGAGAUAGAGACGGCUAACUAGGUGCCAGCAGCCGCGGUAAUACAGAGGUGUCAAGCGUUUUUCGGAAUCACUGGGCGUGAAGCGUGCGGAGGCGGUUUCGUAAGGCGGGUGUGAAAGGCUGGGGCUCAACCCGCGGACGGAACAUGAUACUGCGAGACUAGAGUACUGGAGGGGGAAGCGGAAUUCUCGGUGUAGCAGUGAAAUGCGUAGAUAUCGAGAGGAACACUCGUGGCGAAGGCGGGUUCCUGGACAUUAACUGACGCUGAGGCACGAAGGCCAGGGGAGCGAAAGGGAUUAGAUACCCUUGUAGUC
This 446-nucleotide ribosomal RNA is filed under the name uncultured bacterium. Its description in RNAcentral is "partial 16S ribosomal RNA". It matches the Rfam family "Bacterial small subunit ribosomal RNA", at positions 338 to 795 of the family's 1533-position model. The record is from RNAcentral.